AGUUAAACAGUACGUGAAAUUGUUGAAAGGGAAACGAUUGAAGCCAGUCGUACCUUCGGGUAAUCAGCCUUUCGGGUGCGAUUCUGUGGGGUUUGAGGAGCUUAACACCUUCAUGCUUUGCAUAUUCGUGCUCUUGGGUGUACUUGCCCGUGUGGUUGGUUAACAUCAAUUUCGGGCACCAUAAAAUGGCUGGAGGAAUGUAGCUUCGAUCCUGUAUUGAAGUGUUAUAGCCUUCGGUAGAUGUGGUGAUCGAGAUUGAGGAUUGCAACGGAUACCUUUCGGGGCUACCUGUCUGAUCUCUGAUCGUUGCUUUGGUGCUGAAAGCGUGCUUAUAGUUAUCAAAGUCGAUGGUUAAUAGGUUAGAAUGGGUUAAAUUCGUUAAGGAUGUUGACGUAAUGGCUUUAAA
Molecule: unclassified non-coding RNA, 406 nt
Filed under: uncultured Rhizophagus
Lineage: Eukaryota; Fungi; Glomeromycota; Glomeromycetes; Glomerales; Glomeraceae
Description: sequence contains 28S rRNA gene
Source: RNAcentral